Molecule: non-coding RNA, 172 nt
Filed under: Maledivibacter halophilus
Lineage: Bacteria; Bacillati; Bacillota; Clostridia; Peptostreptococcales; Caminicellaceae
Description: Clostridium halophilum T-box sequence
Rfam family: T-box leader
About the family: Uncharged tRNA acts as the effector for transcription antitermination of genes in the T-box leader family. T-boxes are found upstream of many aminoacyl-tRNA synthetase genes and some amino acid biosynthetic genes usually in Gram-positive bacteria.
Source: RNAcentral
AUAUAGGCUAUGAUAGAGAAGAGUAACUUUGAAUAUUACUUUAGAGAGUCGGUGAUGGUGAAAAUCCGGUAUAAUAUCUUAGUGAAGGGAGCUCUUGAGCUGUACUGUUUAAAGUGGGUGUUGUAUACGCCAAACAGGGUGGAACCGCGGAAGUAAACCUUUCGUCCCUUAC